This is a small nuclear RNA of Myotis lucifugus (little brown bat), 106 nucleotides long. Lineage: Eukaryota; Metazoa; Chordata; Mammalia; Chiroptera; Vespertilionidae. The record is from Ensembl.
GUGCUUGCUUCGUCAGCACGUAUACUAAAAUUGGAACGAUACAGAGAAGAUUAGCAAGGACAUUAGCAAAAAAAAAAGUAAACCAGGUGUAGUUUAUUACCUUUUG